GAUGAACGCUGUCGGCGUGCCUAAUACAUGCAAGUCGAGCGAACAGACGAGGAGCUUGCUCCUUUGACGUUAGCGGCGGACGGGUGAGUAACACGUGGGUAACCUACCUAUAAGACUGGGAUAACUUCGGGAGACCGGAGCUAAUACCGGAUAAUAUUUCGAACCGCAUGGUUCGAUAGUGAAAGAUGGCUUUGCUAUCACUUAUAGAUGGACCUGCGCCGUAUUAGCUAGUUGGUAAGGUAACGGCUUACCAAGGCAACGAUACGUAGCCGACCUGAGAGGGUGAUCGGCCACACUGGAACUGAGACACGGUCCAGACUCCUACGGGAGGCAGCAGUAGGGAAUCUUCCGCAAUGGGCGAAAGCCUGACGGAGCAACGCCGCGUGAGUGAUGAAGGUCUUCGGAUCGUAAAACUCUGUUAUUAGGGAAGAACAAACGUGUAAGUAACUGUGCACGUCUUGACGGUACCUAAUCAGAAAGCCACGGCUAACUACGUGCCAGCAGCCGCGGUAAUACGUAGGUGGCAAGCGUUAUCCGGAAUUAUUGGGCGUAAAGCGCGCGUAGGCGGUUUUUUAAGUCUGAUGUGAAAGCCCACGGCUCAACCGUGGAGGGUCAUUGGAAACUGGAAAACUUGAGUGCAGAAGAGGAAAGUGGAAUUCCAUGUGUAGCGGUGAAAUGCGCAGAGAUAUGGAGGAACACCAGUGGCGAAGGCGACUUUCUGGUCUGUAACUGACGCUGAUGUGCGAAAGCGUGGGGAUCAAACAGGAUUAGAUACCCUGGUAGUCCACGCCGUAAACGAUGAGUGCUAAGUGUUAGGGGGUUUCCGCCCCUUAGUGCUGCAGCUAACGCAUUAAGCACUCCGCCUGGGGAGUACGACCGCAAGGUUGAAACUCAAAGGAAUUGACGGGGACCCGCACAAGCGGUGGUGCAUGUGGUUUAAUUCGAAGCAACGCGAAGAACCUUACCAAAUCUUGACAUCCUUUGACCCUUCUAGAGAUAGAAGUUUCCCCUUCGGGGGACAAAGUGACAGGUGGUGCAUGGUUGUCGUCAGCUCGUGUCGUGAGAUGUUGGGUUAAGUCCCGCAACGAGCGCAACCCUUAAGCUUAGUUGCCAUCAUUAAGUUGGGCACUCUAAGUUGACUGCCGGUGACAAACCGGAGGAAGGUGGGGAUGACGUCAAAUCAUCAUGCCCCUUAUGAUUUGGGCUACACACGUGCUACAAUGGACAAUACAAAGGGCAGCGAAACCGCGAGGUCAAGCAAAUCCCAUAAAGUUGUUCUCAGUUCGGAUUGUAGUCUGCAACUCGACUACAUGAAGCUGGAAUCGCUAGUAAUCGUAGAUCAGCAUGCUACGGUGAAUACGUUCCCGGGUCU
Molecule: ribosomal RNA, 1372 nt
Filed under: uncultured bacterium
Lineage: Bacteria
Description: bacterial SSU rRNA
Rfam family: Bacterial small subunit ribosomal RNA
Source: RNAcentral